AUUUCAUUGGUCCUGGGUCCAGCAUUGGUUCAGUCAGCGGAGGGGUCCAGUCAGCGGAGGGGUCCAGUUCUGGGUGGCUUGCGCCCCUGGGGCUUCAGUUUGUGUCCUUUUAUCAUCCGUACCCCUCCUUCGGCACUCAAACACAUUAGGCUAACUAGGUGUCAUGAGCAGUUUGUGAGCCUUUGGGCUUGGGGGUCAUUUGGGGAAUAACUUCCCCUUUCCUGCAGAUGUGAUCUUUGGCCAUACAUGGUGAGCUGCCUUGCUCAGCAUAUCAGAACAACACAUCAGAACACAGAGCUGUUCACCCUCCAGCACGCCCUCCCUGUCCUGUUGCUGAUCGGCUUCUUUUC
Long non-coding RNA from Aquila chrysaetos chrysaetos, 350 nucleotides. RefSeq lists it as uncharacterized. Lineage: Eukaryota; Metazoa; Chordata; Aves; Accipitriformes; Accipitridae. The record is from RefSeq and is a predicted model, not a curated record. The transcript has 3 exons.